GUAGGAUACAAAGCAAUG
This 18-nucleotide non-coding RNA is filed under the name Mus musculus (house mouse). The record is from RNAcentral. Lineage: Eukaryota; Metazoa; Chordata; Mammalia; Rodentia; Muridae.